GUGGGUAUGCAGCCAAGGAUGACUUGCCGACUACUGCCUCUCUUCCAUGGUUCUUUUAGAUCAAAUGAGCUUUGAUCAUCAUUGGUUGAUUUGAUUGUGUUGGUGGUGGUUGGCAAGUUGUCUGUGGCUAUAUUCCUGU
This 139-nucleotide microRNA precursor is filed under the name Linum usitatissimum (flax). Lineage: Eukaryota; Viridiplantae; Streptophyta; Magnoliopsida; Malpighiales; Linaceae. The record is from RNAcentral.